GACGAACGCUGGCGGCGUGCCUAAUACAUGCAAGUCGAGCGAGCUUGCCUAGAUGAAUUUGGUGCUUGCACCAGAUGAAACUAGAUACAAGCGAGCGGCGGACGGGUGAGUAACACGUGGGUAACCUGCCCAAGAGACUGGGAUAACACCUGGAAACAGAUGCUAAUACCGGAUAACAACACUAGACGCAUGUCUAGAGUUUAAAAGAUGGUUCUGCUAUCACUCUUGGAUGGACCUGCGGUGCAUUAGCUAGUUGGUAAGGUAACGGCUUACCAAGGCAAUGAUGCAUAGCCGAGUUGAGAGACUGAUCGGCCACAUUGGGACUGAGACACGGCCCAAACUCCUACGGGAGGCAGCAGUAGGGAAUCUUCCACAAUGGACGCAAGUCUGAUGGAGCAACGCCGCGUGAGUGAAGAAGGGUUUCGGCUCGUAAAGCUCUGUUGGUAGUGAAGAAAGAUAGAGGUAGUAACUGGCCUUUAUUUGACGGUAAUUACU
RNAcentral lists this ribosomal RNA (495 nucleotides) under uncultured bacterium. Its description in RNAcentral is "bacterial SSU rRNA". It matches the Rfam family "Bacterial small subunit ribosomal RNA", at positions 28 to 483 of the family's 1533-position model. The record is from RNAcentral.